This 1137-nucleotide long non-coding RNA is filed under the name Heterocephalus glaber (naked mole-rat). RNAcentral describes it as "lncRNA (ENSHGLG00100043609.1)". The record is from RNAcentral. Lineage: Eukaryota; Metazoa; Chordata; Mammalia; Rodentia; Bathyergidae.
AGAGGCCGAGCGCCAGGCCGGCCGGCCCGGGGCCCCGCCCCGCCCCCCGCCGCCCGCCCGAUGGGGAACGCUCCGUCCCAAGGCAUGUCCCUGUCCUCUCCCUCCCUAAUGUGCCUCCAUGCUUAGUGGAAGAUGAUGUCAUGUGUGAACGUCGCCCAGCCAGAGGCAGCCAGAGGACAGGGACUGGUGACAUCCGGGGAAAGGACGCCAGGUGGGGACGGGCCUGCCGGUUUAGCAGACGGUGGCGCCGAGCUGGAGGAUCUUCCUUCUCCUGAAGAGUGACAGUGAUCGCAUGUAAAAGAAUGCAGUGCGGGAUAAAAAUAAAUCGGGGCCAUAAAUAAAGGUGGAAUUUAGAAUUGCUGGAGCAAGUAACGGUGUCUCUCCUCACAGGCGGGCACCUGCGCCUCUACUCGUGGCCAGCCACUGGGGGGCGCCCGCCGCCUCCUCAUCCGCAGGUCUGAACGGAGGGCGACACAGGCCCCUGCCCAGGCCCAGCCUCUGCUUCCCUUCCUGCUGAGGCUCCCUGUCACGCGUGCUGGCAUCUUCCUGCACCUCGUCCUGGGCAGGCGUGACCUCAGGCGCCCAACAGGCUGGGGGAGUGAAGUCAUUUCCAGAACAGCACCCCCAUUAGAAGCCCAGGCUGCUCCUCCCAGUCCCUGUGGGCCCCACAGAAAAAAAGUUGAAUCCAUGCAACAGGUGUGGAACCCCGGAUCACCUGCAUGGCGCCAUCCUUCUCUCUGAACCUCGGGGUCCUUCCUUGUUAAAUAAAGCCAAGAUCUGGAAGAUUGUUUUUAAAUUUUUAAAAUUUUUAUUUGCUUGUUUUUUUAAAGCGGGCCUCGAUAUGUAGUCCAGGCUGCCCUUGAGCUCACUAUGGACCCCAGGCUGGCCUCAGACUCUCGACAAUCCUCCUGCUUCAGCCUCCUCAGUGCUGGGAUGACAGGCGUGUGCCACCACACCAAGCUAGAAGGUUCUUAAAGGGGUUCCUAGGCUUUUCCAUUCCAAGCCCCCCUUGGCAUGGCCCCUCCUCAGAUGAGCAGAUAUCUCUCUACCCCUUCCCUCUCUGCCACCCCAGUGCCAGCUCCUGGCCAGGAGUGCUGCCUGCUGUCUAUCUGCUCCCCACAGCCCCUCAACCCUCCC